AACGUAGGUACCGAGCGUUAUCCGGAUUUACUGGGCGUAAAGCGCGUUCAGGCGGCUUGGCAAGUCGGGCAUGAAAGCUCUCGGCUCAACCGGGAGAGGUUGUCCGAUACUGCUAGGCUUGAGGGCAGUAGAGGGUGGUGGAAUUCCGGGUGUAGUGGUGAAAUGCGUAGAUAUCCGGAGGAACACCAGUGGCGAAAGCGGCCACCUGGACUGUACCUGACGCUCAAACGCGAAAGCUAGGGGAGCGAACGGG
This 253-nucleotide unclassified non-coding RNA is filed under the name uncultured Anaerolineales bacterium. RNAcentral describes it as "contains 16S-23S intergenic spacer region". It matches the Rfam family "Bacterial small subunit ribosomal RNA", at positions 524 to 776 of the family's 1533-position model. The record is from RNAcentral. Lineage: Bacteria; Bacillati; Chloroflexota; Anaerolineae; Anaerolineales.